ACGGGAGGCAGCAGUGGGGAAUAUUGCACAAUGGGGGAAACCCUGAUGCAGCGACGCCGCGUGAGUGAAGAAGUAUUUCGGUAUGUAAAGCUCUAUCAGCAGGGAAGAGAAUGACGGUACCUGACUAAGAAGCCCCGGCUAACUACGUGCCAGCAGCCGCGGUAAUACGUAGGGGGCAAGCGUUAUCCGGAUUUACUGGGUGUAAAGGGAGCGUAGACGGCAUAGCAAGUCUGAAGUGAAAUACCCGGGCUCAACCCGGGAGCUGCUUUGGAAACUGUUAGGCUGGAGUGCUGGAGAGGCAAGCGGAAUUCCUAGUGUAGCGGUGAAAUGCGUAGAUAUUAGGAGGAACACCAGUGGCGAAGGCGGCUUGCUGGACAGUAACUGACGUUGAGGCUCGAAAGCGUGGGGAGCAAACAGGAUUAGAUACCCUGGUA
This 434-nucleotide ribosomal RNA is filed under the name uncultured bacterium. Its description in RNAcentral is "bacterial SSU rRNA". It matches the Rfam family "Bacterial small subunit ribosomal RNA", at positions 341 to 792 of the family's 1533-position model. RNAcentral also lists the same sequence under 1 other name. The record is from RNAcentral.